UCUCAAGCACAUUUCAAUCUGCUUUGCCCUUCCCAUUUCACUGUGCUCCUUUUCAAAGUGGUGCUUGUGGAUAGAGAAGCCUUGAAAAGGAUGAACCCAGAGCAGCAAGUUCCCUGCAGAAAUCAGAGGCAAAGGCUAAAGAAAAGGCAUCUAAAGUGCUAUAGCAGAUGGGAACAAUAACAUUUUCAUUGGAACACAUUGCCAAUCUGGGUUUUAAUUCAGACGUUUCCAGCUGCUGAUCUGUGGUCCAGUGACUGAAAUAGCAACGAGCCAUGCAGUAUCAUUGAUAUAAAGCUCCCCAGCCUAAGUCCUGAAGCCUGCAAAGAUAUUGUACUGAAGGGAAGAGCUGCAAAAACCAGACGAGCAAAUUGCGCUUCAUCUCUUUGUGCUUAACCUGGUAUUUCUCUAGGAUUACUCUGCUCGAGGGAGGCUGGACCAGAUGACCCACUGUGGUCCCUUCCAACCUCAUCCAUUAUGUGAUUCUGUGAUUCUCAAGUGAGAGAUGUGGCUGAGAGCCUGAGGUGGUGAGCAGGCUUGGGCAGUUGUGCUGCUGGUAUAGGAGUCCAUCCCACUCCCAGAAGACAAGAGAUUGUUACUAAGCACUCUUCCCUGUUGGACUUUCGGGGG
Vidua chalybeata is the source of this 627-nucleotide long non-coding RNA. RefSeq lists it as uncharacterized. Lineage: Eukaryota; Metazoa; Chordata; Aves; Passeriformes; Viduidae. The transcript has 5 exons. The record is from RefSeq and is a predicted model, not a curated record.